CAAUAAUAUAUCCUUGCAAGUUCAAAGUAAUUAAAGUUGAAUAAUAUCUGCUGAGCAUUAAAAGUUCCCCAACCAUGAAGGCAAUCCUUGUUUUCUUUUUACUCUUGGCCUCUAUUUUUUUCCUUCCCAGUUCAACUCUUGCUCGACAACUGGAGGGCGGGGUGACACCUGGUACCAACGAUCCUAAUAUUAGAUGUUCCCCCGGCGGCAGUUAUAGGUCUUGCCUCCCCCCAUCGCCACCAAAACCACCAUGUGAUCCGUAUAUUAGGAAAGGUUGCUUACCAUGAAACUACCGCCAACAGUACUAUAAUUAUGUAUGUAGUUUUUAAUUCUUGGUACUUGCUGCCACAUCUUUUUAACACUCUUCCUGUGUUAAAACUCGGUGGCAUCAUAUGUCAUCAUCUCUAUAUUCCGUGUGGUUUGGCUGAAUAAAUUAAACAUGUGUGCUUUUAUUCCAGUUUGCAUGCAGUUGCAGUAAUCUUGUAAUGUUGUACUGAGACAAAUUAGGCUUGAUCACCAGCCUAAUCCAAUCCAAUAAACAUCAUCUUGAAUAAAGGCUUGGCGUUUUUGCCAAUCCAAUAAAAA
Glycine soja is the source of this 585-nucleotide long non-coding RNA. RefSeq lists it as uncharacterized. NCBI's taxonomy places the organism in Eukaryota, Viridiplantae, Streptophyta, Magnoliopsida, Fabales, Fabaceae. The transcript has 2 exons. The record is from RefSeq and is a predicted model, not a curated record.